GACGAACGCUGGCGGCGUGCUUAACACAUGCAAGUCGAACGGUGAAGGAGAGCUUGCUCUCCGGAUCAGUGGCGAACGGGUGAGUAACACGUGGGCAACCUGCCCCAGACUUCGGGAUAACGCUUCGAAAGAGGUGCUAAUACCGGAUACGAACUCCUUGGGCAUCCUCGGAGUUGGAAAGUUUUUCGGUCUGGGAUGGGCCCGCGGCCUAGCAGCUUGUUGGUGAGGUAACGGCUCACCACGGCGACGACGGGUAGCCGGCCUGAGAGGGCGACCGGCCACACUGGGACUGGGACACGGCCCAGACUCCUACGGGAGGCAGCAGUGGGGAAUAUUGCGCAAUGGGCGAAAGCCGGACGCAGCGACGCCGCGUGAGGGAUGACGGCCUUCGGGUUGUAAACCUCUUUCAGCAGGGAAGAAGCGAAAGUGACGGUACCUGCAGAAGAAGCACCGGCUAACUACGUGCCAGCAGCCGCCGCAG
RNAcentral lists this ribosomal RNA (481 nucleotides) under uncultured bacterium. RNAcentral's name for it is "partial 16S ribosomal RNA". It matches the Rfam family "Bacterial small subunit ribosomal RNA", at positions 28 to 523 of the family's 1533-position model. The record is from RNAcentral.